UACACUUCACUCUAAUGCCUGAUUAACUUUAACUACUAAAUUACAUAUGGUAACCAACAUUUUUUGUGAAAAACUUCGGUAAAACAUCCUCUAUUAAACAUAUACGAUAUGUUACCAAAGACAAGAAGUACAACUUUAAUCUAUCUAAGGCUCAAGCCCACAACACCAAUGAAUCAUAUUACUAAAAGCUAGGAAACUAGGCAGUAGAUAUAGUUAAAUAAAGUGACUAAGGGGGUGCCAGCAGUCGCGGUUACACCACCGCUUUAAGUUAAUUUUACACAAAUACCAAAAGAGGUAAAAUAAACCUAGCUGAUUUCAACCACAAGUACAUACGAAGUAAAAUUCUUAACACCUUAUUGCAUACCCAAAUAAAUCACACAACCUAAAUCUCUAACAAACCACACCCAACAGGACAGGGAUUAGAUACCCCACUACUGAGUGGCUCAACCAAACAAAUACUAAAAACGAAAGUUUCAAACUUAAAGAGUGUGGCGGUAUUCCACACCUUAUUAGGGGAUCCUGUGGCUUAAUACGAUAACCCACGAACACCAAAGCUUUAUUUGUCAUCAGCUUGUGUAUGGCCGUUUUAUGUCUGCGCACAUAAAGCAACAAAAGAAGACACUCAAGCCUAAAACUUAAUAACACAGGUAACACACAGCCAACAUAAAGCAGCUCAUGGGAUACAAAUGGAUAUCAUCACCCUAAAUAGGUUGAUAGCCUAUACAAAGGAGGACUUAAAAGUAAGAUUACAACAUUAUUAUAGUCUGAACAAGAUCUGGAAUACGCACAAAUCGCCCGUCACUCCUGCAAUCAAACCAGGAUAAGUCGUAACACAGUAGGGGUAACGGAAGUUGCCCCUAUAAAA
RNAcentral lists this non-coding RNA (865 nucleotides) under Quadrula quadrula (mapleleaf mussel). The record is from RNAcentral. Lineage: Eukaryota; Metazoa; Mollusca; Bivalvia; Unionida; Unionidae.